RNAcentral lists this ribosomal RNA (742 nucleotides) under uncultured bacterium. Its description in RNAcentral is "bacterial SSU rRNA". It matches the Rfam family "Bacterial small subunit ribosomal RNA", at positions 94 to 823 of the family's 1533-position model. The record is from RNAcentral.
AGCGGCGGACGGGUGAGUAACACGUGGGUAACCUGCCCAAGAGACUGGGAUAACACCUGGAAACAGAUGCUAAUACCGGAUAUCAACACUAGACGCAUGUCUAGAGUUUGAAAGAUGGUUCUGCUAUCACUCUUGGAUGGACCUGCGGUGCAUUAGCUAGUUGGUAAGGUAACGGCUUACCAAGGCAAUGAUGCAUAGCCGAGUUGAGAGACUGAUCGGCCACAUUGGGACUGAGACACGGCCCAAACUCCUACGGGAGGCAGCAGUAGGGAAUCUUCCACAAUGGACGAAAGUCUGAUGGAGCAACGCCGCGUGAGUGAAGAAGGGUUUCGGCUCGUAAAGCUCUGUUGGUAGUGAAGAAAGAUAGAGGUAGUAACUGGCCUUUAUUUGACGGUAAUUACUUAGAAAGUCACGGCUAACUACGUGCCAGCAGCCGCGGUAAUACGUAGGUGGCAAGCGUUGUCCGGAUUUAUUGGGCGUAAAGCGAGUGCAGGCGGUUCAAUAAGUCUGAUGUGAAAGCCUUCGGCUCAACCGGAGAAUUGCAUCAGAAACUGUUGAACCUGAGUGCAGAAGAGGAGAGUGGAACUCCAUGUGUAGCGGUGGAAUGCGUAGAUAUAUGGAAGAACACCAGUGGCGAAGGCGGCUCUCUGGUCUGCAACUGACGCUGAGGCUCGAAAGCAUGGGUAGCGAACAGGAUUAGAUACCCUGGUAGUCCAUGCCGUAAACGAUGAGUGCUAAGUGU